Molecule: ribosomal RNA, 477 nt
Filed under: uncultured bacterium
Lineage: Bacteria
Description: partial 16S ribosomal RNA
Rfam family: Bacterial small subunit ribosomal RNA
Source: RNAcentral
AUUGAACGCUGGCGGCAUGCCUUACACAUGCAAGUCGAACGGUAACAGGUUAAGCUGACGAGUGGCGAACGGGUGAGUAAUAUAUCGGAACGUGCCCAGUCGUGGGGGAUAACUGCUCGAAAGAGCAGCUAAUACCGCAUACGACCUGAGGGUGAAAGCGGGGGAUCGCAAGACCUCGCGCGAUUGGAGCGGCCGAUAUCAGAUUAGGUAGUUGGUGAGGUAAAGGCUCACCAAGCCGACGAUCUGUAGCUGGUCUGAGAGGACGACCAGCCACACUGGGACUGAGACACGGCCCAGACUCCUACGGGAGGCAGCAGUGGGGAAUUUUGGACAAUGGGCGCAAGCCUGAUCCAGCCAUGCCGCGUGCGGGAAGAAGGCCUUCGGGUUGUAAACCGCUUUUGUCAGGGAAGAAAAGGUUCUGGCUAAUACCUGGGACUCAUGACGGUACCUGAAGAAUAAGCACCGGCUAACUACGUG